RNAcentral lists this ribosomal RNA (253 nucleotides) under uncultured bacterium. RNAcentral's name for it is "partial 16S ribosomal RNA". It matches the Rfam family "Bacterial small subunit ribosomal RNA", at positions 524 to 776 of the family's 1533-position model. The record is from RNAcentral.
UACGUAGGGUGCAAGCGUUGUCCGGAUUUACUGGGCGUAAAGAGCGCGCAGGCGGUCGUUCAAGUCGAGUGUGAAAGCCCCCGGCUCAACUGGGGAGGGUCACUCGAUACUGAUCGACUCGAAGGCAGGAGAGGGUAGUGGAAUUCCCGGUGUAGUGGUGAAAUGCGUAGAUAUCGGGAGGAACACCAGUGGCGAAGGCGACUUCCUGGCCUGUUCUUGACGCUGAGGCGCGAAAGCUAGGGGAGCAAACGGG